RNAcentral lists this ribosomal RNA (863 nucleotides) under uncultured Mycoplasma sp. Its description in RNAcentral is "bacterial SSU rRNA". It matches the Rfam family "Bacterial small subunit ribosomal RNA", at positions 499 to 1386 of the family's 1533-position model. Lineage: Bacteria; Bacillati; Mycoplasmatota; Mollicutes; Mycoplasmatales; Mycoplasmataceae. The record is from RNAcentral.
AACUAUGUGCCAGCAGCUGCGGUAAUACAUAGGUCGCGAGCGUUAUUCGGAUUUAUUGGGCGUAAAGCAAGCGCAGGCGGAUUGAUAAGUUCUGUGUUAAAAGCAGCUGCUCAACAGUUGUUUGCACCGAAUACUGUCAGUCUAGAAUGUGGUAGGGAGUUUCGGAAUUAAAUAUGGAGCGGUGGAAUGUGUAGAUAUAUUUAAGAACACCAGAAGCGAAGGCGGAAACUCAGGCCAUUAUUGACGCUUAGGCUUGAAAGUGUGGGGAGCAAAUGGGAUUAGAUACCCCAGUAGUCCACACCGUAAACGAUGGGUAUUAGAUGUCGGGUUUUAAUUCUCGGCGUUGUAGCUUACGUGUUAAAUACCCCGCCUGGGUAGUACAUAUGCAAAUAUGAAACUCAAAGGAAUUGACGGGGACCUGAACAAGUGGUGGAACAUGUUGCUUAAUUCGAUAAUACACGAAAAACCUUACCAAGGUUUGACAUCCCCCGCAAAGCCAUGGAAACAUGGUGGAGGUUAUCGGGGUGACAGGUGGUGCAUGGUUGUCGUCAGCUCGUGUCAUGAGAUGUUUGGUUAAGUCCCGCAACGAGCGCAACCCUACUCCUUAGUUACCUUUUCUAGGGAGACUGAACAGUAAUGUAUAGGAAGGUUGGGAUCACGUCAAAUCAUCAUGCCCCUUAUGCCUUGGGCUGCAAACGUGUUACAAUGGCGAGUACAAUGUGUCGCAAGCUAGCGAUAGCAAGCCAAUCACCUAAAACUCGUCUCAGUUCGGAUAGGAGGCUGCAAUUCGCCUCCUUGAAGUUGGAAUCACUAGUAAUCCCGUGUCAGCUAUAUCGGGGUGAAUACGUUCCCAGGUCUUGUAC